Molecule: ribosomal RNA, 497 nt
Filed under: uncultured bacterium
Lineage: Bacteria
Description: partial 16S ribosomal RNA
Rfam family: Bacterial small subunit ribosomal RNA
Source: RNAcentral
GAUGAACGCUGGCGGCGUGCCUAAUACAUGCAAGUCGAGCGAACAGACGAGGAGCUUGCUCCUCUGACGUUAGCGGCGGACGGGUGAGUAACACGUGGAUAACCUACCUAUAAGACUGGGAUAACUUCGGGAAACCGGAGCUAAUACCGGACAAUAUAUUGAACCGCAUGGUUCAAUAGUGAAAGACGGUUUUGCUGUCACUGAUAGAUGGAUCCGCGCCGCAUUAGCUAGUUGGUAAGGUAACGGCUUACCAAGGCAACGAUGCGUAGCCGACCUGAGAGGGUGAUCGGCCACACUGGAACUGAGACACGGUCCAGACUCCUACGGGAGGCAGCAGUAGGGAAUCUUCCGCAAUGGGCGAAAGCCUGACGGAGCAACGCCGCGUGAGUGAUGAAGGUCUUCGGAUCGUAAAACUCUGUUAUUAGGGAAGAACAAAUGUGUAAGUAACUAUGCACGUCUUGACGGUACCUAAUCAGAAAGCCACGGCUAACUACGUG